UAGCUAGUUAGCUAGGGCUGGACUUUUGGAGAGAUGACACGGUUAGUGAUUGAGAUUUGAAAGUCAUUAGCUCAUAGAUGGGGUCAUUAGCUUCCAGAGAAGUGGAAGGGUAUGUAUUAGUCAACCUUCUGUUGCUGUAACAAAUAGCUGAGUGAAAUAACUUAUAAGAAGGAAAGACUUAUUUUGGCUCAUGGUUUCAGUUCAUGGUCGGUUGACAUGUUGGUUGCUUUUGGACCUGUGCAAGACAGAACAUCAUGGCAGAGAGUGCACAGUAGAGCAAAGCUACUCAGCUCAUGGCAUCUGGAAAGUGAAGGGAAAGACCAGAGGGGCUUGGAAGAGGGUCUUAACAUCUCUUUCAAGAGCAUGGAAAGCAGGUUGUGCCCUGCUCUGAGUUAGUCCACAAUGUAUAGAGCAGUAGUUCUCGGAUUAUUCCUAAACUGUGUUACUCUAUUCUAUAAAGCAAUAGUUUGCCAUCAGCGACUCCAUUUUGAGUUUAAGUGUAGAGAUUGAAUGACUCCACACUUUGUUUGUACAAGUAAGAAAUGACCAUCUGCCUGGCACAACCAUAAACACAAACUGAUAAAUCAAUUAUGCUAAUAAAAAUGGCCACCUGUGAACUUAUUGAAUUAAUCAGAAGCACAUGAAUGCAUGCAUGGGUGUAUCAAACUCAUACUGGAAAAACCAGGCCCAAGACCUUAUUGAACAUACCAUAACCCCUCAUUCAAGACCCAUAAAAGGAGGAGCACCUGAACCCCUGGACAUGGCAGCACACUGACCCAAUCUCCUAGUCACUCCCUGUCAUGAGCCUUGCCCAAGAAAAUUGCCACAGCAAUGAAUUUCCAAAUCUCUGUCUUUGGGCUUCAACAGAGCAUGGUUUCUCCUACCUAUGACAACUAUGCAGGACCCACUCCAAGCUGACAUCUCAAGCUAAUGGUCUGCAACUGCCAUCCUUUUGGACCUUGACCUAGACUCAUUUCCUG
This 980-nucleotide long non-coding RNA is filed under the name Marmota monax (woodchuck). The record is from RNAcentral. Lineage: Eukaryota; Metazoa; Chordata; Mammalia; Rodentia; Sciuridae.